AGUGAACGCUGGCGGUAGGCCUAACACAUGCAAGUCGAACGGCAGCACAGUAAGAGCUUGCUCUUACGGGUGGCGAGUGGCGGACGGGUGAGGAAUACAUCGGAAUCUACUUUUUCGUGGGGGAUAACGUAGGGAAACUUACGCUAAUACCGCAUACUACCUACGGGUGAAAUCAGGGGAUCUUCGGACCUUGCGCGAUUGAAUGAGCCGAUGUCGGAUUAGCCAGUUGGCGGGGUAAAGGCCCACCAAGGCGACGAUCCGUAGCUGGUCUGAGAGGAUGAUCAGCCACACUGGAACUGAGACACGGUCCAGACUCCUACGGGAGGCAGCAGUGGGGAAUAUUGGACAAAGGGCGCAAGCCUGAUCCAGCCAUACCGCGUGGGUGAAGAAGGCCUUCGGGUUGUAAAGCCCUUUUGUUGGGAAAGAAAAGCAGCAGGUUAAUACCCCGCUGUUCUGACGGUACCCAAAGAAUAAGCACCGGCUAACUUCGUG
This 492-nucleotide ribosomal RNA is filed under the name uncultured bacterium. RNAcentral describes it as "partial 16S ribosomal RNA". It matches the Rfam family "Bacterial small subunit ribosomal RNA", at positions 29 to 507 of the family's 1533-position model. The record is from RNAcentral.